ACUCUUUGCAACCAACAAAAGACACCUUUUCAUCAUUGACAUGGACUCCAGCGGUGUUUGGAUUAACUCCUCUGAGACUCUACCUCCAGCCCAAAACCAGGAGAGGCCACGUGAUAAUUCUCAUGCGACAGAGGACGAGAACAUCUGGUUUAGCGGCCAAUAUAGCCAUCUCCAACCAUCUUUCUUGGAGGAACUCGAAAACGUCCACUGGUCAGAGGGAUGGGACAGUGUUGCUCCUUACUCUGAGAACCUUGGAUCCAACCAACUGAUUUUCUCCAGAAACGCCGGCCUCAAUAAGUUCAGCGCCAGGGUAGAUGGAGACACACAAAACCUACUUUUUAAUGCAGUGCUGGGAAGGGAGCAUACAAGUACACCUGCCGGUGAGCCAGCUCCU
Oreochromis niloticus (Nile tilapia) is the source of this 394-nucleotide long non-coding RNA. RefSeq lists it as uncharacterized. The record is from RefSeq and is a predicted model, not a curated record. The transcript has 3 exons. NCBI's taxonomy places the organism in Eukaryota, Metazoa, Chordata, Actinopteri, Cichliformes, Cichlidae.